AGAGUUUGAUCCUGGCUCAGAAUCAACGCUGGCGGCGUGCCUAACACAUGCAAGUCGAACGGGAGAGUUCUUUUCGGAGAGCGAGUAUAGUGGCGAACGGGUGAGUAACGCGUGGGUGAUCUACCCUUUGGUGGGGGAUAACCCGGGGAAACUCGGGCUAAUACCGCAUGAGCCUAAAGUUGUAAGUAAUUUUAGGGAAAGUUUUCGAAUGCCGAAGGAGGAGCCCGCGUCCGAUUAGCUAGUUGGUGAGGUAAGAGCUCACCAAGGCAACGAUCGGUAGCCGGUCUGAGAGGACGGACGGUCACACUGGGACUGAGACACGGCCCAGACUCCUACGGGAGGCAGCGGUGGGGAAUUUUGGGCAAUGGGCGAAAGCCUGACCCAGCAACGCCGCGUGGAGGAUGAAGGUUUUCGGAUCGUAAACUCCUGUCUAGAGGGACGAAGCAAGUGACGGUACCUCUGGAGGAAGCCCCGGCUAACUCCGUGCCAGCAGCCGCGGUAAUACGGGGGGGGCAAGCGUUGUUCGGAAUUACUGGGCGUAAAGGGCGCGUAGGCGGUUUCGGAAGUCAUGGGUGAAAGUCCUCGGCUCAACCGAGGGAUUGCCUGUGAAACCACGGGACUGGAGUGCUGGAGAGGGAAGUGGAAUUCCCAGUGUAGCGGUGAAAUGCGUAGAUAUUGGGAGGAACACCUGCGGCGAAGGCGGCUUCCUGGACAGACACUGACGCUGAGGCGCGAAAGCCAGGGGAGCAAACGGGAUUAGAUACCCUGGUAGCCCACGCUGUAAACGAUGUCAACUAGCCGUUGGGAGCUUUAAUGUUCUUAGUGGCGCAGCUAACGCGAUAAGUUGACCGCCUGGGGAGUACGGCCGCAAGGUUAAAACUCAAAGGGAUUGACGGGGGCCCGCACAAGCGGUGGAGCAUGUGGUUUAAUUCGAUGCAACGCGAAGAGCCUUACCAGCCCUUGACAUCCUGCGAACUUUCCAGAGAUAGAUUGGUGCCUUCGGGAACGCAGUGACAGGUGCUGCAUGGCUGUCGUCAGCUCGUGUCGUGAGAUGUUGGGUUAAGUCCCGUAACGAGCGCAACCCUUGUCCUCAGUUGCCAGCGGUUCGGCCGGGAACUCUGGGGAGACUGCCGGUGAUAAACCGGAGGAAGGUGGGGAUGACGUCAAGUCAUCAUGGCCCUUAUGGGCUGGGCUACACACGUGCUACAAUGGCCGGUACAGAGGGCAGCGACCCCGCGAGGGUGAGCGAAUCUCAUAAAACCGGUCGUAGUCCGGAUCGCAGUCUGCAACUCGACUGCGUGAAGUCGGAAUCGCUAGUAAUCGCGAAUCAGCAUGUCGCGGUGAAUACGUUCCCGGGCCUUGUACACACCGCCCGUCACACCAUGGGAGUGGGUUGCAAAAGAAGUGGGUAGUCUAACCUUCGGGAGGACGCUCACCACUUUGUGAUUCAUGACUGGGGUGAAGUCGUAACAAGGUA
Molecule: ribosomal RNA, 1477 nt
Filed under: metagenome
Description: bacterial SSU rRNA
Rfam family: Bacterial small subunit ribosomal RNA
Source: RNAcentral